CUGGUUGAUCCUGCCGGACCCUACUGCUAUCGGGAUGGGGCUAAGACAUGUUAGUCGCCGCCCUUCUAGCCAUGUUGGAGGCGCGGCAUACCGCUCAGUAGCACGUGGCUAACCUACCCUUGGGACGGAAACAUCCCCGGGAAACUGGGGCUAAUUUUCGAUAGGCGAAGCUCCCUGGAAUGGGUUUUCACCUAAAGGGCGCUUAGAUCAUGCUUCUAGGCGUUGCCCAAGGACGGGGCCGCGGCCGAUCAGGUUGUUGGUGAGGUAACGGCUCACCAAGCCUAUAACCGGUGCGGGCCGUGGGAGCGGAAGCCCGGAGAUGGGCACUGAGACAAGGGCCCAGGCCNUACGGGGCGCAGCAGUCGCGCAAACUUCACAAUAAGCGAAAGCUUGAUGGGGCCAUCCCGAGUGCCAUCCGCUGAGGAUGGCUUUUACCCAGUAUAGAUAGCUGGGGGAAUAAGGAGAGGGCAAGUCUGGUGUCAGCCGCCGCGGUAAUACCAGCUCUCCGAGUGGUGGGGAUGUUUAUUGGGCCUAAAGCAUCCGUAGCUCGCUGAACAAGUCCCCUGUUAAACCCAACGAUUUAAUCGUUGGUCUGCGGGGGAUACUGCUCGGCUAGGGGGCGGGAGAGGCUGUCGGUAUUCUCGGGGUAGGGGUGAAAUCCUAUAAUCCCGGGAGGACCACCAGUGGCGAAGGCUGUCAGCUAGAACGCGCCCGACGGUGAGGGAUGAAAGCUGGGGGAGCGAACCGGAUUAGAUACCCGGGUAGUCCCAGCUGUAAACGAUGCAGGCUAGGUGUUUGGGCGGCUACGUGCCGCUCUAGUGCCGCAGGGAAGCUGUUAAGCCUGCCGCCUGGGGAGUACGCCGCAAGGCUGAAACUUAAAGGAAUUGGCGGGGGAGCACCACAAGGGGUGAAGCUUGCGGUUUAAUUGGAUUCAACACCGGA
This 942-nucleotide ribosomal RNA is filed under the name uncultured archaeon. RNAcentral's name for it is "bacterial SSU rRNA". It matches the Rfam family "Archaeal small subunit ribosomal RNA", at positions 4 to 922 of the family's 1478-position model. The record is from RNAcentral.